Molecule: ribosomal RNA, 338 nt
Filed under: Escherichia coli
Lineage: Bacteria; Pseudomonadati; Pseudomonadota; Gammaproteobacteria; Enterobacterales; Enterobacteriaceae
Description: bacterial SSU rRNA
Rfam family: Bacterial small subunit ribosomal RNA
Source: RNAcentral
UGGCCCUUACGACCAGGGCUACACACGUGCUACAAUGGCGCAUACAAAGAGAAGCGACCUCGCGAGAGCAAGCGGACCUCAUAAAGUGCGUCGUAGUCCGGAUUGGAGUCUGCAACUCGACUCCAUGAAGUCGGAAUCGCUAGUAAUCGUGGAUCAGAAUGCCACGGUGAAUACGUUCCCGGGCCUUGUACACACCGCCCGUCACACCAUGGGAGUGGGUUGCAAAAGAAGUAGGUAGCUUAACCUUCGGGAGGGCGCUUACCACUUUGUGAUUCAUGACUGGGGUGAAGUCGUAACAAGGUAACCGUAGGGGAACCUGCGGUUGGAUCACCUCCUUA